AUGAAUGAAUGAAUGAUAAAAAAAAGCAAAAGCAAAAUACCUUGGAUUGAUUGAUUGUUUUUGUGUGUGUUUUUUGUGUUUGCCAUAUCAUUAUUAUCACUAUUAUUAUUUUUCACUUUUACAUCUACACACAUGCCCAAAACAUAAAAACGCAAAUGUGUUUCAUUUUACAAUUAUACAAUAUAAAUAAUAUAAAA
This 197-nucleotide non-coding RNA is filed under the name Fragilariopsis kerguelensis. The record is from RNAcentral. Lineage: Eukaryota; Bacillariophyta; Bacillariophyceae; Bacillariales; Bacillariaceae.